AGUCAUAUGCUUGUCUCAAAGAUUAAGCCAUGCAUGUCUAAGUAUAAAUGGUAUACAAUGAAACUGCGAAUGGCUCAUUAAAACAGUUAUAGUUUAUUUGGUAACCAAACUUACAUGGAUAACCGUGGUAAUUCUAGAGCUAAUACAUGCUGUCACGCCCGACUCACGAAGGGCCGUAUUUAUUAGAUAUCAGCCAAUAAGCAUCUGCUAUUGUGGUGACUCAUAGUAACUUAAUCGGAUCGCAUGGGCUUGCCCCGCGACAAACCAUUCAAGUUUCUGCCCCAUCAUGCUUUCGAUGGUAGUGUAUUGGACUACCAUGGCUUUCACGGGUAACGGAGGAUUAGGGUUCGAUUCCGGAGAGGGAGCCUGAGAAACGGCUACCACAUCUAAGGAAGGCAGCAGGCGCGCAAAUUACCCAAUCCCGACACGGGGAGGUAGUGACAAGAAAUAACAAUACAGGGCAUCCAUGUCUUGUAAUUGGAAUGAGUAGAAUUUAAAUCCCUUUACGAGUAUCGAU
RNAcentral lists this ribosomal RNA (517 nucleotides) under uncultured eukaryote. RNAcentral's name for it is "bacterial SSU rRNA". It matches the Rfam family "Eukaryotic small subunit ribosomal RNA", at positions 22 to 548 of the family's 1831-position model. The record is from RNAcentral.